GGUUUUUGGGGUGUGUUCAUCCAGUUCGAAUUCCCCUACCUUUGAGCUUCUUUCCUGCUUGUAAGGGAACAAAUUAACGAUAAGAAUGUUAUGGCAAUGCCUGUUGGAGAAGGGGUCUACGUGUGUUGAGAAUUUUGAUGCGGAAAUGGCAGAUAUGGAAGUGGGGUAUGAAAUUAGCUCAUGAACCAAUUAUUCUAUGGCUCGAGCUUUACUUUAGGAUCCAGUAAGAACUUAAAAAAGGAUUGUUCAUACAACAGUUAAUCCUGCUCCAGACCCAUUUUUACUGUUCUGACAAGCCAGUAAGCAAAAGGUCACUUCAACAAAAUUACGUUAAAUUUGUACGUCUCUAGAAGACUUUCAAGUUGUUUGAUGGCCUUUCAAGAACUGUGUAUCCCACUCAUAGACACAGAAACCAUCUGUCAAAGUUCUUUUUAAGUUUGAAUAAAGUUCUCGGAACUAUUGACAAUC
Molecule: small RNA, 468 nt
Filed under: Drosophila pseudoobscura pseudoobscura
Lineage: Eukaryota; Metazoa; Arthropoda; Insecta; Diptera; Drosophilidae
Description: GA31606
Source: RNAcentral